GAGCUUGAUAGGUUUAUGAGAUCUGCUAAUUCUCAAAUCCGUGAUUCAAUUCACGGCAUGCUCA
Molecule: transfer RNA, 64 nt
Filed under: Callulina kreffti (Krefft's secret frog)
Lineage: Eukaryota; Metazoa; Chordata; Amphibia; Anura; Brevicipitidae
Description: tRNA-Ser
Source: RNAcentral